Molecule: long non-coding RNA, 1201 nt
Filed under: Canis lupus familiaris (dog)
Lineage: Eukaryota; Metazoa; Chordata; Mammalia; Carnivora; Canidae
Description: lncRNA (ENSCAFG00000050640.1)
Source: RNAcentral
CACCAGAGGAGGGAGAAGCAGGCCCCAUGCCGGGAGCCCAACGCGGGACUUGAUCCCAGGACCCCAGGAUUGUGCCCUGGGCCAAAGGCAGGCGCUAAACUGCUGAGCCACCCAGGGAUCCCCGAGGGCAGGAACAUUUAUUUAUGUUGCUCACUGUUGUAUCUUCAGCACCUAAAAUAAUGUCUGUCACAAUGGAGAUGCUAAAAAGUCUUUCUGGAAUGAAGGCAUGAAUCUGUCAAGAGGGAACUCAAAUGUCUCCGCUUCCUUGAAGCAGUCUCCCAUCAUGACCAAAAGAAAUAGCUUCAGCUUCUCAACCUUGCAUCUUUUCCCUUGUACUUUGGCCCAUGGAUUGACAAAAUCAUUUAUCUAAAGGGCCAGAUAAAUAUUUUAGUCUUUAUUGACACUGCAGACAUACAGAUACUGUUGUAGGACAUACAGACAUCAUUGCGAUGACUCAGCUCUGCUGUUUUAGUGCAAAAGCAGCCCAAACCAAUUUGUAAAUAAAUGGGAAUAGUUGUAUUCCAAUAAAACAUCAUUUCAAAAAAUAGGCAGGUGGUGGGCUGGAUUUGGCCCUAGGCUGUACUUUGCUGCCCCCUGCUCUAUUUGUUUGUAUACCAAAUUUCUCCCUUUGGCUAGAUUCCUAAAUUAUGAAUUUCUCUGAGACAGGGACAGAAUGUUAUUAGAGAAUAAAUGUGUGUAGGCAUAUCUGUGUGCAUUCUGUUCAUAUAUGUAUAUGUGCAUUUACAUAUGUAGAUAUAUAUGCGCAACACACACACACACAAACACACACACACACCGAGUGAUUGUAUAUGCAUUAUUCAGCUUCCCUGAUCCUCAGUUUUGUCAUCAUUAAAACCUCCUGAUAAGACACUGGAGAUAAAGUGCCUGACAUUGUGUCUGCCUUGGAUACAUGCUCAAUAAGCCCUACUUUCCUUCUUCUUCCUUAAAACAGCACUGCCACCCUAUACAAGGCACUCAGCACACAUUUAUUGUGGACCUCCAAUGUCAAAGGACCAUGCCUGGGAUUCAGUGAAGAUUCAGUGAAGAUUGGAGGUGGACAAGAAACCUCUCUGAGUAAGGAGUCAGAAAGAUGUGAUGCAGUCCCGCCUCCACUCACUUCUCCGCCACCCACACGUUAACUUCCUCCUUCUUGGAGACAGACAUUCUAUACCCUUUUCAUUCUCCUCACACCUCCCAGAUU